CAGGACGAACGCUGGCGGCGUGCCUAACACAUGCAAGUCGAGCGGGGACUGCACGACGGAUUUGAAGAUUCGGUUGGAUAUGAAGAUGUACAGUUCUAGCGGCGGACGGGUGAGUAACGCGUGAGCAACCUGUCCCUUACAGGGGGAUAACACAGCGAAAGUUGUACUAAUACCGCAUGAGACCACGAUAUCACAUGGUACAGGGGUCAAAGGAGCAAUCCGGUAAGGGGUGGGCUCGCGUCCGAUUAGAUAGUUGGUGAGGUAACGGCCCACCAAGUCGACGAUCGGUAGCCGACCUGAGAGGGUGAUCGGCCACAUUGGGACUGAGACACGGCCCAAACUCCUACGGGAGGCAGCAGUGGGGAAUAUUGGGCAAUGGGGGGAACCCGUGACCCAGCAACGCCGCGUGAGGGAAGAAGGUUUUCGGAUCGUAAACCUCUGUCCUAUGUGAAGAGGAAGAGACGGUAGCAUAGGAGGAAGCCCCGGCUAACUACGUGCCAGCCGCCGC
RNAcentral lists this ribosomal RNA (508 nucleotides) under uncultured bacterium. RNAcentral's name for it is "bacterial SSU rRNA". It matches the Rfam family "Bacterial small subunit ribosomal RNA", at positions 25 to 518 of the family's 1533-position model. The record is from RNAcentral.